Small nucleolar RNA from Setaria italica (foxtail millet), 139 nucleotides. It matches the Rfam family "Small nucleolar RNA Z247". Rfam says of the family: Z247 is a member of the C/D class of snoRNA which contain the C (UGAUGA) and D (CUGA) box motifs. Most of the members of the box C/D family function in directing site-specific 2'-O-methylation of substrate RNAs. The record is from Rfam. Lineage: Eukaryota; Viridiplantae; Streptophyta; Magnoliopsida; Poales; Poaceae.
CUCAUCGAUGACGGUGAGAUGGCAUCUCAUAUUCUCAAUGGGCUUGAUUUUGAGCAUAAUCCUUUUGUCUCGUUGAUGCUUGGUCAUUCGGAUCCCCUUCCUCUCUCCGAGCUAUACUCUCACUUGAUGUCUUACGAGA